RNAcentral lists this long non-coding RNA (1342 nucleotides) under Pogona vitticeps (central bearded dragon). Its description in RNAcentral is "lncRNA (ENSPVIG00000018052.1)". The record is from RNAcentral. Lineage: Eukaryota; Metazoa; Chordata; Lepidosauria; Squamata; Agamidae.
GCUUUUAAAGGUCGACAGGUCCUUGGAAGAGAGACUCAAGUCAGCUAAAGACCCAAGGUCCUUAGUAGCUGAAAUGGAUUCCACUAAGCCGCUGGAAGGUGCUUUGUUACAGGGUGAAAAGUCAACGGCAGAGGCGGAAGAAGGAGAACUUUUGGAUGAAGCUGCCGGAGAUGAAAACGUCCAGCCCCUGCAUAAAAGAUGCCGCCAGCUCGUGGAAAGCAUGGAGCUGGAGAACGCCCAGCUCCGGCGCCAGCUGCAGAAGCUGGAGCGGGAGCACGAAGACGUGGUGGAGCGCAACGAGGAGCUGGAGUCGCUCCUGGGGGAGGCGCAGAACCGAAGCCAGGAGGAGCGCGAGCAGCUCCAGGACCGAGUGGACGGGCUGCGGAGGAAGGUGACUGGGGUUGCGAGAGGCGCCCACUUGUCCCCUGGGGCCAAGUGGGCGCCAUGGGUCAAGGCCGGGAGAUGGACCUCGGGGGGGAUCUCGGCUUCCGAAACUGGGUGGCACCAGGUCCUCGGGCGCAUUGCAGCUGACAGACCAGAGGCUUGGAGAAGUUGCUUUAUUUGUUUAUUUAUUUAUGUAUUUAUUUAUUUAUUUAACUUAUAUACCACCCACUCUACCCAAAGGUCUCUGGGCGGCUUACAACCAUUAAAAUACAAUAAAAAGAUAAUACCAUUAAAAUAGAUACUUUAAAAUUGCUAUCGGGACCCAUAGCUGAUAUUACAUAUUUCAAUUAAAAACCUUCUGGAACAGAAAGGUUUUGACCUGGCACCAAAAUGUCAUCAGCGUCGGCACCAGGCAAAUCUCAGUCAGGAGGGCAUUCCAUAGUCUGGAAUGUUGCUUUGUGGGGGGGGGGACUACAGUUCCCACUCGCCCCCUCAGGUACGGGAUGCUGCGGGUUGUCGUCCGAAACAGGAAGGCUCCUCCCAUCUCUGCUUAAGAGCUGCUGCCUCAGAUGGAUUCUGACGCCGCUGGAAGGGGAACCGAUUUUAACCGUUCCAGGCCUUUGGGGCCUCUUGUUUGCUGUCAGACGGGAUGAGCCGACAAGCGUGGUCAUCAGCUAUAGGAAAUCUGAAGAGGCCAUGGGGACGUUGGGAGGGGAGAGGGGGGUGCUGUCGGAACAGCCCGACGCUUUGGGAGAAGUCAUUCAGUGCAAGAGUGGGCCACGGCCGAGGGCCCGAGGGCCACUUUUCCACUCCCGGGAUCCCCUGCCCUGAAAAUGGGGUAAAGCGUGGAUUUUUUUUCUUUUAAAAAGGUGACUGGAAAUCCACUUCCUGUUCCAUUCAGCGUUCUGAAGGGGGUCCUUGUGUUCUGCAGGGCGAAACCAGGGUCAUGUAAAUACAG